This is a regulatory RNA element of 105 nucleotides. It matches the Rfam family "Alpha operon ribosome binding site". Rfam says of the family: The bacterial alpha operon ribosome binding site is surrounded by this complex pseudoknotted structure. Translation of the mRNA produces 4 ribosomal protein products, one of which (S4) acts as a translational repressor by binding to the nested pseudoknot region. The record is from Rfam.
UCGAUGCGUUUCCAUUUGAGUAUCCUGAAAACGGGCUUUUCAGCAUGGUACGCAUUUAUUUAGGAGUGCAUAGUGGCCCGUAUAGCAGGCAUUAACAUUUCUGAU